This 401-nucleotide ribosomal RNA is filed under the name uncultured Acetivibrio sp. RNAcentral describes it as "bacterial SSU rRNA". It matches the Rfam family "Bacterial small subunit ribosomal RNA", at positions 355 to 774 of the family's 1533-position model. The record is from RNAcentral. Lineage: Bacteria; Bacillati; Bacillota; Clostridia; Acetivibrionales; Acetivibrionaceae.
UCGGGAAUAUUGCACAAUGGAGGAAACUCUGAUGCAGUGACGCCGCGUAUAGGAAGAAGGUUUUCGGAUUGUAAACUAUUGUCGUUAGGGAAGAAAAGACAGUACCUAAGGAGGAAGCUCCGGCUAACUACGUGCCAGCAGCCGCGGUAAUACGUAGGGAGCAAGCGUUAUCCGGAUUUAUUGGGUGUAAAGGGUGCGUAGACGGGACAACAAGUUAGUUGUGAAAUCCCACGGCUUAACUGUGGAACUGCAACUAAAACUAUUGUUCUUGAGUGUCGGAGAGGAAAGUGGAAUUCCUAGUGUAGCGGUGAAAUGCGUAGAUAUUAGGAGGAACACCGGUGGCGAAGGCGACUUUCUGGACGAUAACUGACGUUGAGGCACGAAAGUGUGGGGAGCAAACA